This 855-nucleotide ribosomal RNA is filed under the name uncultured bacterium. RNAcentral describes it as "bacterial SSU rRNA". It matches the Rfam family "Bacterial small subunit ribosomal RNA", at positions 592 to 1445 of the family's 1533-position model. The record is from RNAcentral.
UNUUAAAAGUUCGGGGCUUAACCCCGUGAUGGGAUGGAAACUGCUGAUCUAGAGUAUCGGAGAGGAAAGUGGAAUUCCUAGUGUAGCGGUGAAAUGCGUAGAUAUUAGGAAGAACACCAGUGGCGAAGGCGACUUUCUGGACGAAAACUGACGCUGAGGCGCGAAAGCCAGGGGAGCGAACGGGAUUAGAUACCCCGGUAGUCCUGGCCGCAAACGAUGGGUACUAGGUGUAGGAGGUAUCGACCCCUUCUGUGCCGGAGUUAACGCAAUAAGUACCCCGCCUGGGGAGUACGACCGCAAGGUUGAAACUCAAAGGAAUUGACGGGGGCCCGCACAAGCGGUGGAGUAUGUGGUUUAAUUCGACGCAACGCGAAGAACCUUACCAGGUCUUGACAUUGAUGGACAGAACCAGAGAUGGUUCCUCUUCUUCGGAAGCCAGAAAACAGGUGGUGCACGGUUGUCGUCAGCUCGUGUCGUGAGAUGUUGGGUUAAGUCCCGCAACGAGCGCAACCCCUAUCUUAUGUUGCCAGCACGUAAUGGUGGGAACUCAUGAGAGACUGCCGCAGACAAUGCGGAGGAAGGCGGGGAUGACGUCAAAUCAUCAUGCCCCUUAUGACCUGGGCUACACACGUACUACAAUGGGAGUUAAUAGACGGAAGCGAGAUCGCGAGAUGGAGCAAACCCGAGAAACACUCUCUCAGUUCGGAUCGUAGGCUGCAACUCGCCUACGUGAAGUCGGAAUCGCUAGUAAUCGCAGGUCAGCAUACUGCGGUGAAUACGUUCCCGGGCCUUGUACACACCGCCCGUCACACCACGAAAGUCGGAAGUGCCCAAAGCCGGUGGGGUAACCUUCGG